UGGGGAAUAUUGCACAAUGGGCGCAAGCCUGAUGCAGCCAUGCCGCGUGUAUGAAGAAGGCCUUCGGGUUGUAAAGUACUUUCAGCGGGGAGGAAGGGAGUAAAGUUAAUACCUUUGCUCAUUGACGUUACCCGCAGAAGAAGCACCGGCUAACUCCGUGCCAGCAGCCGCGGUAAUACGGAGGGUGCAAGCGUUAAUCGGAAUUACUGGGCGUAAAGCGCACGCAGGCGGUUUGUUAAGUCAGAUGUGAAAUCCCCGGGCUCAACCUGGGAACUGCAUCUGAUACUGGCAAGCUUGAGUCUCGUAGAGGGGGGUAGAAUUCUAGGUGUAGCGGUGAAAUGCGUAGAGAUCUGGAGGAAUACCGGUGGCGAAGGCGGCCCCCUGGACGAAGACUGACGCUCAGGUGCGAAAGCGUGGGGAGCAAACAGG
RNAcentral lists this ribosomal RNA (429 nucleotides) under Chloroflexota bacterium. RNAcentral describes it as "Chloroflexi bacterium partial 16S ribosomal RNA". It matches the Rfam family "Bacterial small subunit ribosomal RNA", at positions 355 to 776 of the family's 1533-position model. The record is from RNAcentral. Lineage: Bacteria; Bacillati; Chloroflexota.